ACCAGUAGCCGCUUUGUCCAAUUGUACUGCAGCAAACCAAUCAGGAAAUGCAAUUUCAUCCCAAUUGAAGAUUGUGAUCCUUGCACUCCACCCACGAGUAUAAUCUGUAUAAACAUGCCAGUUCAUGCUGACCCCACAGUUAUCUCCACAGGGCAUUGGGUUUGGCACUGUUCUAUGUUUAAGUUCAGCCCAAGCUCUAGCCAUAGGAUUAUCAAAAGGUAUAAGCAGUGCCUCUGGUGGAAGAAGAACAGCAGGAGCAGUCGUAUUACAAGUUCUUGCCGUGCUAGCAGGGCAUCCACAUGCACAGGUAUUGCAUGGAACAACAGAAUCAUUGUAGUAAGCAGAAAAUGAUACACAGCAUCUGGGGCUUACUCCCUUGGGAUGAGUAAUAUUGCAUACUACCUGCCAGCUAGCAACUGCAGUUGAAUUUGAUGGUAAGCCACUAGGGUCUGGGAAUUGGCUAGGGCUCACUCUUACUGGGGGACCACAUUGAUAAUCAGGGUUAAGUGUGCCAUUGAUCUUCCAAUUCUGCGGUGGUGUGAGGUCAGACCGAUUAAGAACUGGAGGCAUUUUAAAAACCUGCAUCUGGAAAACUGAAAUUGACUUGCUUGGGUCCAUGGAUGGUGGCAAGAUUGUACCAUUUCGACAACAGAAGGGUUUCAACCCAAGGUUUGUGUCGUUGUACUUUGUCGGAGGCAGGUCAAUUAUUGUUGGCCUUCUUUCACAGUUUAAUACAUUGGCAAAGUCUAGUUCCUUAUAGAAUGUACCUUGUGGGCCAAAUAUGCAGUCAGAUGAAUCAACAACAUAGGGAUAAGCCCCUUUCAUGGUGUAGAUAAAUUCAUCCGUCAUCCAGUCCCAGCUCAAUUUCCAGUUAUCAAGACGACCAAGGGGAUUGUGAUUUUCAAUGGUAACCUGUGCCCAAUAAUUGGAAUCAUACGUUCUGAUCACAUCGUACAUGAUGGUAAGAUCCCCAUUCUGGCGAGGCAGGAACUCCUCCUCCACAGUGAUGUUUGAUUUAAAGUUCUGAUCUUUGGUGCAACAAACAUACAUCAUACUACCUUCCGUGGUAGUCUUAGGGCAAACAACCCAUCAUUAGCAAGCGUGACAUUAGA
Molecule: unclassified non-coding RNA, 1112 nt
Filed under: Hevea brasiliensis (rubber tree)
Lineage: Eukaryota; Viridiplantae; Streptophyta; Magnoliopsida; Malpighiales; Euphorbiaceae
Source: RNAcentral